Molecule: ribosomal RNA, 460 nt
Filed under: uncultured bacterium
Lineage: Bacteria
Description: bacterial SSU rRNA
Rfam family: Bacterial small subunit ribosomal RNA
Source: RNAcentral
GGCCCGCACAAGCGGUGGAGCAUGUGGUUUAAUUCGAAGCAACGCGAAGAACCUUACCAGGUCUUGACAUCCCAGUGACCGCUCUAGAGAUAGAGUUUUUCUUCGGAACACUGGUGACAGGUGGUGCAUGGUUGUCGUCAGCUCGUGUCGUGAGAUGUUGGGUUAAGUCCCGCAACGAGCGCAACCCUUAUUGUUAGUUGCCAUCAUUCAGUUGGGCACUCUAGCGAGACUGCCGGUAAUAAACCGGAGGAAGGUGGGGAUGACGUCAAAUCAUCAUGCCCCUUAUGACCUGGGCUACACACGUGCUACAAUGGUUGGUACAACGAGUCGCAAGUCGGUGACGGCAAGCAAAUCUCUUAAAGCCAAUCUCAGUUCGGAUUGUAGGCUGCAACUCGCCUACAUGAAGUCGGAAUCGCUAGUAAUCGCGGAUCAGCACGCCGCGGUGAAUACGUUCCCGGGC